GCAAAUAUAAUUUAAAGGAAGAAUAGCAGGAUGUGAAAUUGAAAGUAUAGGUUCGAUUCCUAUUAUUUGCC
Molecule: non-coding RNA, 71 nt
Organism: Massospora cicadina
Lineage: Eukaryota; Fungi; Entomophthoromycota; Entomophthoromycetes; Entomophthorales; Entomophthoraceae
Source: the annotation of a GenBank genome assembly